Molecule: long non-coding RNA, 1338 nt
Filed under: Macaca fascicularis (crab-eating macaque)
Lineage: Eukaryota; Metazoa; Chordata; Mammalia; Primates; Cercopithecidae
Description: lncRNA (ENSMFAG00000058289.1)
Source: RNAcentral
GGAGUUCUACAUUACUUGUGAUGGUUCCUUAUAUCCCUAGAACAAUAAGACUGCCUAGUGUUACGCAGGACUCCCCUAUUUUGGAUGCAUAAUUUGAUUUUUUUUUUUUUAAUUUUUGUAGAGACAGAGUCUCGCUAUGUUGCCAGUGUGGUCUCAAACUCCUGGCCUCCAGUGCUUCCCCCUGCCUCAGCCUCCCAAAGUGCUGGCUUACAGGCAUGAGCCACCAUGCCUAGCCUGGAUUUAUUACUUUAACUAAAAGUAGUUGUUAUUCCCGAUCUGAACAAACAACAGAAAGUUUUGUUUGCAAAGUUGUAGUAAAUAACAGCCAAGAGACUUGGAAAGAGGCUGAGUGGGGUUCAUUAGACUAACUCUCUGGGGAUCCCAAGUCCCAUUAAACUAGGGAGAUGAAUAGAUCCCUUAAGAAAACAAAACUGCAACCCAAAUCUUCCAGCCCUGAUAUCACCUUCACAAAAAGAUGUUUACUUCAGAAGGAGCUUACUGAAAAAUGAAGAUUUUGAAAUACUCUAGACUCUUCAGACCCUUUGCAUUGAAUGAUGGCUCCAAAGAAGCUAUUCUACUCUGAGUGACCAGGGAAUGCAUCUGCCCACUCAGGAAGCUUUGUAAGAGAACAGGUGUUCUUAGAAAAUGCCGUCAAAUUCAUGAGAGAUACAGAUCUCACACCAACAGCAUAGGACCAGCAUUUAGAGCCAACAGACAACAUUGCAACCUCAGGAAAUAACGGUGAGAACCAGUUAUCUCCUGCAGUCUUGUGAGCAGUGUGUUUGGAAUGGCCUGAUUGGGACUCCCGCGGAGGACUGGUAGACACCUGACCCUGGACCUGCCAGGUAAUCUCCACCUUAGCACUUCAGGGGCUGGCAGAGCAGCAGUUGCUUCCUCAAACCCUCCUCUUACUGGCACUUGUUUUUAUAUUUUGUCAGAAGGUCUGGCACAUCAAGGGCAGGCACUGGGUGUCAUUUGUAACUUGAGCCCCACCACCCAAGUCAAUGCUGGAACACAGCAGUGGGUAAGCCGAUGUUUAUUCAGUCAGAGCCAUUAUAUUACUGACUUGCACUGAGGGACUUUGCCUGGCCUGAUCUGCCCAAUGUUGUGCCACUCUGUGCUCUAUGUAACUGUGCCCUUGGAAGACACAAAGCUCUGGACAACAUGGAGUCUGGGUGAAACUCCAAAUGCUUUUGUUUUGAAGGAGAAGAUCUCAUCCUCCUUCUAAGUGUAGUAGAAGAGCAUGAAGGCCAGGCACAGUGGCUCACACCUGUAAUCCCAGCACUUUGGGAGGCUGAGAACGGUGGGUCACCUGAGGCCAGGAGUUCGAGACUAGCC